AGCUGAUGCACACGAUGGUCUCCUCCCAGUUUCCAUCGCACCAGCUGUUCCCCUCUGGAGGUUUUGACCUUCACACCUUAAUGGGCCUCGGUUUUCCGAUGGCCCUUUCUU
Molecule: small RNA, 111 nt
Filed under: Pararhizobium polonicum
Lineage: Bacteria; Pseudomonadati; Pseudomonadota; Alphaproteobacteria; Hyphomicrobiales; Rhizobiaceae
Description: Alphaproteobacterial ar15
Rfam family: Alphaproteobacterial ar15
Source: Rfam by way of RNAcentral